Sander lucioperca (pikeperch) is the source of this 235-nucleotide long non-coding RNA. RefSeq lists it as uncharacterized. Lineage: Eukaryota; Metazoa; Chordata; Actinopteri; Perciformes; Percidae. The transcript has 3 exons. The record is from RefSeq and is a predicted model, not a curated record.
AAGAAGAGCAUUACCGCCUCCAGGCUGUUCAGAACUCUGCUGCGAGGCUUUUAACUCACAUUAACAAAUGAGCACACAUCACACCUGUUUUAGCUUCACUUCACUGGUUACCAGUCCAGUAUAGAACUCAAUUUAAAAUCCUGGUCCUUACUUUUAGAGCCCUGCAUGGUCAAGUUCCUCCAUACAUCUCUGACUUGAUACAGCUUCACACUCCCACCCUGGAGUCUGAGGUCAU